Long non-coding RNA from Polypterus senegalus (gray bichir), 887 nucleotides. RefSeq lists it as uncharacterized. The transcript has 5 exons. NCBI's taxonomy places the organism in Eukaryota, Metazoa, Chordata, Cladistia, Polypteriformes, Polypteridae. The record is from RefSeq and is a predicted model, not a curated record.
GGUGCUACUGUCUAGCAAAAAAGUACACUGGGGUUCAAGUCUCAAGUACUACCUGUGGGGGAUAUGCAUGUUCUUCCUGUAUCUGCAUGGGCUUCCUCUCAUAUUUCAAGACCAUACAGAGUAGGAGGACUGACAAAGCUAAACUGGCCUCUGAUGGAUAUGUGUGUUCACACUGCAAUGGACUGGUGCCCCAUCAUGCAGGGACUGUUUCUGCCUUGUGCCUGGUGCUUGCUGCGAUAAUCAGCUUUCCCCAGCUCUAGGUGCACUCCAAGGCAGCUCUUCACUAACUUAUUUUGAGUUAGUUCAAACUAUACAACUGAAGACACUGUUACAGUUUGAAGAUACGUCCGCUCCAACUAGCAACCACAGAGAGUCAGUCCAGCUAUGCUGAAGAGGCAGUGGCAGGAAACAGUAAAGGAAGGACAGCAACAGCAACAAUUGUUUCUCUAAAAUAAAUUCUUCUGUGCUCUCCUUAUACCGCUAGCGGACCGUGAAAUUCAAGAUGGCGCUCACCCGACAGCAACACAGCUGGUGUGUGUUGGAGUUUCAUACAACAAAAAGUGACUGUGCAGCGUGCUUUCAGACGCAAAUUUCAUGAGAAUCCACCUACUAACAAAGUCUAUUUUGUUCCUUUGGGGGUACAUGAAAGACAGAGUGUACAUACUGCCACUACCCACAACAAUGGAUGAUCUGCAGGAACGUAUCACUGAAGCUAUAAAUGCGAUUACACCGGAUAUGCUCCUGAGAGUCUGGUCCGAGCUCGAUUGUCGCAUCGAUGUUUGCCGAGUAACAGAACCCACUUAGUCCUAUCACGUCCUAAUGAGCUGAAUGACUUCCGGCCUGUCACUCUGAUGUCACAUGUGAUGAAGACCAUGGAGCGGCUGCUG